UCCCUGGCAGUCCAGUGGUCUGGACUCCACGCUUUCACUGUGGAGGGUGCGGGUUCAAUUCCUGGCCGGGGAA
This 73-nucleotide transfer RNA is filed under the name Bos taurus (domestic cattle). It matches the Rfam family "tRNA". From Rfam's summary of the family: Transfer RNA (tRNA) molecules are approximately 80 nucleotides in length. Their secondary structure includes four short double-helical elements and three loops (D, anti-codon, and T loops). Further hydrogen bonds mediate the characteristic L-shaped molecular structure. tRNAs have two regions of fundamental functional importance: the anti-codon, which is responsible for specific mRNA codon recognition, and the 3' end, to which the tRNAs corresponding amino acid is attached (by aminoacyl-tRNA synthetases). tRNAs cope with the degeneracy of the genetic code in two manners: having more than one tRNA (with a specific anti-codon) for a particular amino acid; and 'wobble' base-pairing, i.e. permitting non-standard base-pairing at the 3rd anti-codon position. The record is from Rfam by way of RNAcentral. Lineage: Eukaryota; Metazoa; Chordata; Mammalia; Artiodactyla; Bovidae. RNAcentral also lists the same sequence under 3 other names.